UCCCAAAUCCCAGAAACCCUAACCCUACUGUUUCCCUUUCCUCAGCCUUUGAAACACAUAGCCUUCACCCCCUUUCUCCUUCGCCUACCAACGCACAAAACACCCACACCCACGGAGAGAGAGACGAAAGAUUCAGAGAGGAGGGAGACGCUGUUGCCACCGCCGCCGUCCUUGUCGCCGUUUGUAGAGUCGCGCCUUACUGCCGGUCUGCCAUCAAACAGCCGCAUGCGUUGUCACCAAGGAGAGAGGGAAAGCUCAUGCUCGCCGUUGAAGGAGACUCCAUCGUUGCACCCAGCCUUUGUCUAGCUCGCUAUCACCGGCGUCUCACCGCUGUCGAUGUGGAGACCGAACGUCGUUGAUCUUCCUGCCGCAACCUUGGAGUCCGUCCCGUCAUCAAGGAAGACUGAGAUGAGGGAGAAGGAGCCGUGAACGCCGCCAUGGUGGUUGCCGUCGCCGCUGCCUAGGUUCCUAUGGUACAAGUCGCCAUUGAUGGAGAAGACGCCACUGAGGAGCAAAGCCUCUAUUUCGCGCUAGUCACGGCGGAGCUACUAUGGAUGUUGCUGUCUCACUGCCACUGAAGGUCCAUUGCCGCCAAUCCACGCCGCCGCUGAAGAUGAGUUGUGUUUGCUAUUGCUUCCUAUUCGAUUCAAAUCCUUUGUCUUGUUGCAACUAUCGUCGCUGCCUUAGGACAGUGAGAAUGCUGUUAUUCUGGUUAAUGCUCCUGCUGCUGCUGCUAAGAAGUGAUGAGAAAAAGCCACUGCUGUUAAUUCGGUUCAAGGUUGUUGCCACUGCGAAUUAAAAAUAAAAGAAGGCUUUGUUGCGUUAUCGAAUUUCGGCUAAUCGAGGUAGGGGAUUUAUUUUAAAAUUAACAGUUUUAACUUAUGAAUACCAAUGAGGUUUAGUGAGUAAUUGCAAAUAAUUCAUAAAUAUGAUUAAUUGAUAGAAAUAAGCUUGGUUUGAGGUUGUGAAAUUUGGAUUAAGUUUGAUGAUGUAUUAGUGUUUCAAUUGGAUUAUUGAAUUCUGAUUAUGGCUGUGAAUGUCUUUGGGCUUUGCUGUUAUGAGUGUUUGAAGCUGUAAUUGAUAUUGGUUUUCUAAUUUUGAUAGAUUUGUUGGAAAUUCUCAUCUUAUGUGAUAUUGCUGAAUUGGCUAGAAUCUGGUUGUGAAUUGUAUUUUGAAUUACUGAUUUUUGUGAUGGGAUGGCUGAGAUUCUGAUCUUGAGUGAGUUAUUUUGAAUUAUUUGAUAUUGAAUUGGAAUUUUAAUUUAUUGGAAUGGCUGUGAAAUGGACUUGUGACGGGUUGGAACUGGUUGAAAUGUGGCUGCAAGUGGUGAUUCAUUUAAUGUUACUUAUUAAAUUUAAAUAUGAUGAGUUACUUAUUGAAUGAAAUGUAUUUGAGAAAAGUUAGUUGUGAUGAUUAUUCUGAGUUAUGAUUGAAGUUGGAUGCGGAUGUGAAUUGAGUUUAGGUUAUAGCUGUGAUAUUGAAUGGCUUCGUUGUCGGGAGUAAUUAACUUAUGAGAUUUACUUUGAUUUGAGGCUGAGUAAACUAUAAUAAAAGAAGUUGUUGGAUUCAAUUUUGAUAAGUUUGAAUUAACUAUAGAAUUAGUUAUGAUUUUUCAAAGUUAAAAUGUAAAACUUGAUUUUCUGCAUUACUUUCAAAAGAAGCCGAAAACUUUGAAAAUCUAUAACUAAUUCUAUGAUGAUUGGAAUUGCGUGGGACCAAGUCUGGAUUAAGCUUGGGAAUAUAGAAAGCUGGACUGGUGAAUUUGAGACUUUUUCAUUUAGUUUAUGAUUUAUGGUGAAUUUUUGGAUUAUGGAUUUCAAAUCUGGUUUUCUGCAGAAUGCUUAACACAGCAGCAACUUGUUUCCUCUAUUAGAAAUUCUCGAGUUUGAAUUUUGAAAUGGGACCAAUUUUAAAUAAAACUCUGGUUCUGGUACUUUAAUUUCAUAAAAAUUUAGAAUUGUUAGAGUUGUGGUUUUAAAGAUAUGGAUUUUUAAAGUAAGAUGUAUUAUGCAAUAAAAAUCAGGUUUUGUUUUCUAAGUCAGUAACUUUGAGACUUUAUAAUUUUUAAUUCUGGAAUGAUAUUGAGAUGAAACCAAUUGAAGGUGAAAUUUGAGUAUGUUUAGUAUAUAUGAUCUAAAUUUUAGGGUUUUCCAUGUUUUAAUAAGUGAGUUAUGGAACUUGGAAGAGGUUGUGCUCAAUGAUUUGUAAACAGACUUCAGCAGAAAAUUACCUACCUUCCAAGCUACGUAACUCCUUCAUUAAAAACGGUAUGACCCUGGAACCAAUUGAGAAAGAAAUUUGAAUAAGUUAUGUUUAACCACAUUAAUUUUGAAAGUGAUUGGAUUUACUUUGGAUUUUAUAUGAAAUUUCGAAUGUUAUAUGCUGCUGCUGUUUUCUAGUUUUAAGGUACUACAGAGCAGUUACGGUUUUGCUUAUAUUCCCGAAGCUAGAUUCAGCAAAAAAUUGUGAUUUUAGUUUAACAGAAAGCCUAAUUCAAGACGGUCGCAUGGAUAUAAGGUUUGUGUAAUUCUGAAUUUGUUUGAUAUUUCAAAAUAAAACUGAAAUUAGACUGCCAAUAUUGUUUUAGUGAUUACUUGGAUAUGGAAUUUGAGAAAUAGAUUUCCUGUACUAUUAUUAAAAGUUUUUGAGAAUAUAUUGUUGUGGCAAUUGUUGAAAAAGGUUUGAUGAGAUGUUGAGAAAGAGGGAACCCGUAAGGGUGGUUAAGUCUGAGUUUUAGGGGAGGUGUUGUCAAAAUUUUAUAAAAAUCUGAGGUUUUAUUCGAAAAGUCAUUUUAAAAUAUUUGAACUUGAAAAAUUAUAUUAUUUGCGUUUUAUCUAAAUAAGAGAAGAGUUAUACUAUUUUGAAUUUGGAAUUAUCAAGGAAAGGUUUAUGUUUCAAGUUUGAAUUAUUUAAGAAAGGAGUUAUGUUUUGGGCUUGAAACAAAGAAUUACUUUUCAGGAGUUUGGUGAAUUUUAUAAUAUUUGAAUCCGAAUGAUAAAGAGAAAUGGUUUGAGCUAAGAUGUUGUAAAAGUGAAAGAUGUGAAGUUUGUAUAGUAUGAUUGAAUGUGUAUAGUAUAAUUGAACAGAGAAUGAAAGAGGUAAUGCAUAAGAAUGUGAAAGUGAUGAUGAAUAAUGAGAAUGUUAAUGAAUGAUGAUAAUGAGAAUGAUUAUGUAAGAAUCUGCUGUAGAGAGGCAGUCAGAUAGAUGGUGGUACGACCACUGAGAACGCUUUCCUGGGAUACCUUGCUAUAAUGCUUUGCUGUAAGACAGAGGUUGCUUACAGAGGUAUCGAGAUUAGUGUGCUCCUGUAAGACAGAGGUUGCUUGCAGUGAGUGUGUUGUUGCUCCUGUAAGACAAAGGUUGCUUAUAGUGAGUGUGUUGUUGCUCUUGUAAGACAAAGGUUGCUUACAGUGAGUGUGUUGUGCUCCUGUAAGACAGAGGUUGCUUACAGUGAGUGUGUUGGGCGUAUAUUGGCUAAUAAGUGCCGCCCUGCAAGACAAAGGUUGCUUGCAAUGGAUACCCUGCAAGACAAAGGUUGCUCGCAGUGGGUAUUGCCAAUAGGAAAGCCUUAUCCAGACAGAGGUUGCUGGGUAACGUCGGGAGCGGGUAUGUAACCGACAAAUGAGCUUAUUACCUGCGCUAGGGCUAGACAUGCAUCAUCCUUAUUUGCGCAUCUGCAUUUGAUUGUGUUUGCUUGUCUUAUUUCUUUGUAAAUGUGCUGCUUGUCUUGUUGUAAUUUGUUUGUAUGUUGAAUUAAAUCUCUUGCUUGUACUUUUAGUUUCUGAAUGUUUUAAAGAGAUUAGUAAUUGACGUUGUGAUUGAGAAUUAAUUAAGUGACUGAAAAAAAUGAUUGAUAUAAUUAAUCUUGUCAUUGAGAUCUGUUUUGAGUUUAGAGUCUUCGAAAGAGGUGAUCAAUUAGUUAAAGUAAAGUUAAGAGUAUAUCCAAAAGGUUUGAUGAAAUAUAGUUUUCCUAGAGCAUGUUUAUUAUUUGCAUUUUAUUUCAUUACUUUUAUGGCAUUCCCAUUCUCUACUGAGAACGUGUGGUUUGUUCUCACGCCAAAAUCCUCCACCUUUUCAGUGACACAGGUUCGUAGACACAGUGUAAAGCGUGGGCGAUUAUAGAAUUUAUUUAUGAGUUAAGUGUGAGUUAAUUUGCUUUCAUAGAAUUCCCUCGCCCUUAUUAUUUUUAUUUUAUACAGAGGGAUAUGAUUUGUAUCUGAGUUUUAUUUGAAAUCUUUUGGAUGAAAGAUAUUAUUAUUAAUGAUUAUGUGAUUAUUGUUACUUAGUGAUCUUUGCUAUGUGAUUUUAAUUAAUAAAAGCAAAAUUUUUCUGGGAUUUUCUAUAAAACUAAAUCACGAUAUCAAACUAAAGGCUCAAAAGUAAAUAGUUGAUAAAGGAAAGCAGGUUGGUAACGCCUUACUUUUGGUACGAUCAUGACGUUCUGGAAGUUAGGUCGUUACAUUUCUGGCAUUUAAUGCCAGAAUAGGGCAGGAAGUUGGCAUUUGAACGCCAGUUUAUGUCAUCAAAAAGCGGGCAAAGUAGGAACUAUUAUAUAUUUCUGGAAAGUCCUAGAUGUCUACUUUCCAACGCAAUUGAGAGCGCACCAUUUGGGUUUCUGUAGCUCUAAAAAAUUCAUUUUGAGUGCAGAGAGGUCAGAAUCUGUUCCGGGGAUUACCUGAAACUGUGGGUCGAUCUCGGACAAGAUCUUCUGUGCUGGUCGGAGCUGUUGUGUCCGACUUGGUGAUGGUGCUGAUCCUUCGUUCCCGGAGGGUGGGGGGUACCUGCAAGGGACUCCGAUGCUUAAGUUAGCAAGGGUAUUAAGCAGGUAUUUUCUGGCUGAAAUUGAGGGAGCUGAGCAAAAAUCUGAGUUAGGCUGAAAAAGGACUGCUGAUGCUGUUGGAUUCUGACCUCCCUGCACUCGAAAUGAAUUUUCUAAAGCUACAGGAGUCCAAUUGGCGCGCUCUUAACGGCGUUGGAAAGUAGACAUCCAGGGCUUUCCAGCAAUAUAUAAUAGUUCAUACUUUGCGCGAAGAUAGACGACGUAAACUGGCGUUCAACGCCAGUAUCAUGCUGUUGUCUGGCGUCCAGCGCCAGAAACAGGUUACAAGCUGGAGUUCAAUGCCAGAAACAGGUUACAACCUGGCGUUGAACGCCCAAAACAGCCCCAGGCACGUGAGAAGCUUAAAUCUCAGCCCCAGCACACACCAAGUGGGCCCCAGAAGUGGAUUUCUGCACUAUCUAUCAUAGUUUACACAUUUUCUGUAAACCUAGGUUACUAGUUUACUAUUUAAAGAACUUUUAGAGAUUUACUUUGCACCUCAUGACAUUUUAGAUCUGAAAUUUGUACCUUUUGGCAGCAUGAGUCUCUAAACCCCAUUGUUGGGGUGAGGAGCUUUGCAGCGUCUCGAUGAAUUAAUACAAUUACCUUUGUUUUCCAUUUAAACACGCUUGUUCCUAUCUAAGAUGUUCAUUCGCGCUUAAACAUGAAGAAGGUGAUGAUCCGUGACACUCAUCACCUUCCUCAGAUCCAUGAACGUGUGCCUGAUAACCACCUCCGUUCUACAUCAGACUGAAUGAGCUUCUCUUAGAUUCCUUAAUCAGAAUCUUCGUGGUAUAAGCUAGAAUUGAUGGCGGCCACUCUUGAGGAUCCGGAAGGUCUAAACCUUGUCUGUGGCAUUCCGAGUAGGAUUCAAGGAUUGAAUGGCUGUGACGAGCUUCAAACUCGCGAUUGCUAGGCGUGAUGACAAACGCAAAAGGAUUAAUGGAUCCUAUUCCAACAUGAUCGAGAACCAACAGCUGAUUAGCCGUGCUGUGACAGAACAUCUGGACCAUUUUCACUGAGAGGAUGGGAGGUAGCCACUGACAAUGGUGACACCCUACAUACAGCUUACCAUGGAAGGAGCCUUGCGUGUGGAAAAGGAUUUCAAGGAAGAGUUGAAGUUCAGAGGACAAAGCAUCUCCAAAACCCCAACAUGUUCUUCAUUAAUAAAGUAACAAUUACUUAUUCCAAACACUUUUACUUCUUACAAUUAAAUCCAAAUAACCUUUUUGGCAUCCUGACUAAGAUUAAUAAAAUAAACAUAGCUUGCUUCAAACCAAUAAUCUCUGUGGAAUCGACCCUUACUCACGUAAGGUAUUACUUGGACGACCCAGUGCACUUGCUGGUUAGUUGUGCGGAUUGCAAAAGUGUGAUUGCAAUUUCGUGCACCAAGUUUUUGGCACCGUUGCCGGGGAUUGUUCGAGUUUGAACAACUAAAGGUUUAUUUUAUUUCUUAGAUUAGGAAUAAUUUAUUUUUGUUGCUAUAGGGUCAUUAAAUUCUGAGAGGAUAAUUUCUUUUCACAAAUUUUUUUUUUCAAAAUUAUUAUUUUUCUUUAUUAAUUCUUAAUUUUUC
This is a long non-coding RNA of Arachis stenosperma, 6392 nucleotides long. RefSeq lists it as uncharacterized. Lineage: Eukaryota; Viridiplantae; Streptophyta; Magnoliopsida; Fabales; Fabaceae. The record is from RefSeq and is a predicted model, not a curated record. The transcript is spliced from 3 exons.